CAAAUUUGUUUCGUUUUUUUGUGGGGGCAAAUUUUAAUCCCUUAUUUAAUAAGGUGAUUUGUGCAGGUGUGAGAAUUAUUUGACUCAGAUUAACAAUAUUACUCUGGUCUGUAUUUAAUAGUGUCUCUUAGAAACAUAGAGACAUAGAA
Molecule: long non-coding RNA, 149 nt
Organism: Bufo bufo (common toad)
Lineage: Eukaryota; Metazoa; Chordata; Amphibia; Anura; Bufonidae
Exons: 4
Source: RefSeq, a predicted model, not a curated record